This 2853-nucleotide ribosomal RNA is filed under the name Triticum aestivum (bread wheat). Its description in RNAcentral is "partial small subunit ribosomal RNA". The record is from RNAcentral. Lineage: Eukaryota; Viridiplantae; Streptophyta; Magnoliopsida; Poales; Poaceae.
AUGCCGCCGCCGCCGCCGUCCUCCUCCUCCCUCCGCGACCUGCUCGCGCGGGAGCGCUCCGAGCUCGCCGAGCCCGCCGCGCCGUGCCGCGCGGUGUCGAGCAGGCAAGCGCCGGGGUCGCCGCCGCCUCCCCGCGGCGCCGACAACGCGGUGGGCACGGUGGUGUCGAUGCUGUCCGGGUACGCGGGGCGGUUCUCCAAGGACGCGGCGUUCCGGCGGGCGCUCCGGGAGAAGUGCGCCGCGUGCCUCGCGCCCGCGGCGGCGGGGGAGCACGCCGUGCUGCUGGCCGACCUCGAGCUGGCCAUCGAGAGCAUCGAGUGCCUCGCCGACGCCGCCCCGUCCCCGCGGGACUCCAAGAUCCGCUCGCUGCGGAACUCCAUCCGCCUCCUCGGCGUCGUCGCCGCGCUCCACGCGCCGCCGCACCCCGCCGCCUCCGGCGACUGCGAGGGCGACGUCCGCGGGGUGCCCAGCUCCCACCUCUCCGCGUGCGCGCAGCUCUACCUCGCCGUCGUGUACAAGAUGGAGAGCGACCCCCACCUCGCGGCGCGCCACCUCCUCCAGGUGUUCGUCGACGCGCCCCACGUGGCCCGCACAACCCUCCUCCCGGACCUCUGGGCCCACGUCUUCCUCCCCCACCUGCUCCAUCUCGAGGUCUGGCUCGCCAAUGAGUCCGAGCUCGUCGCCGGCUGCGGCGACGCCGACGGCCGGAGCAGCAGCAGGACGAAGACCCUGCAGAGGCUGUACGACGACCAAAUGGACAGCGGCACAGCUCAGUUCGCAAUGUACUACAAGGACUGGCUCAAACACGGCGGCGAUGCGCCGCCCGCCGUCCCCUCCGUGCCAUUGCCUUCGACGCCCUGGAGCUUCGACAAGUGGGAGAAGCACUCCUCGUCGCUGCGCACGAGCUCCAUCAACAGAAAUCUGUACAAUGCCGUUUUCGGCACGUCGUUUGAGCAGGAGGACACCAAACUGCCGAAUGAGGCUGAAUAUGUCCUGGAUAUGGAGGUGCAAUUGGAUGAAAAUCCAGGUAGCUUGAAGAUGGAGAAGCUUGCUCAUAGAAACAUUGGGCUACAAGAGAAGCAAUCCGGCAUUCGGAAAGAAAGCACUGUUCCGGAAACAGCACCAACUCCACGCAAAUCCUACUCGUUGCGAUUACUCUCAUGCCGCGGAGAUGUAAGCAGGAAUGUUACUAAUCACCCUAAGGUAACAAAGAGAGGCAAUGUCUCUGUCGAGAAAGAGCUAGAUUGCUGCGAGGUAACAGUGAGUCUACAACGAGCAGUUUCCAUCAUAUCGAAUUCAGACAGUCUUACACAGUGCGAGUAUGCCGUGCACGAAAUCGCCACAGCAUGUUCAAAUCUAGGAGGGGGUCCUAAUCUUGGAACUUGGAUGUCAUGUCCCUCUUUUAUUCAAGGGCUUCUCGAGGUUACAUUCACUUCCAAAGAUGAUGCAGUACUUGAGUCAGCAAUCUUGAUAAUGGGAGAGCUGGUUUUGAGAAAUGAGGUCAAUAGGCAGAUCGUGCUUAACGCAGAUCCACAGCUUGAGGUUUUCUUGAGGCUUCUGGCUCUGAGAAGCAACGGGUUGUUUCUGAAGGCAACUGCAGUGCUUUAUUUGAUGAAGCCAAGAGCUAAGCAGAUGCUAUCCAUGGACUGGAUGCCACUAGUAUUGCACAUAUUGGAGUGUGGGGAUGAGGUGCAGCUUGUGUCUUCCCUGAAGUGUUAUCCAAAGAUGGCUGCAUUCUACUUUCUAGAUCAGCUGCUUACAGGGUUUGACAUCGACAGAAAUGUCGAGAACGCAAAGCAGAUGAUUGCUCUCGGUGGUUUGGACCUGCUGAUGAGCAGACUUGAAGUUGGUGAUGCCCGCGAAAGCAGAAUCUGCAUCUCUCUCUUGACCUCAUGCGUCCAAGCCGAUGGCAGCUGUAGAUUCUACUUGUCUGAUCAUCUGAAGAAGGAGCCUCUUGUUCAACUUCUUGUAGGAAAUCAGAAGAAGGCCAGUGCUGCUGCCCUUAACUUGAUGAGUGAACUAACCUGCCUUAACAGAACAAGCCAGACGGUAGAGUUCCUCAAGGAGCUGAAAAGUGGUGGCUGCUUAAAUACAAUGCAAGUUCUAUUGGUGUAUCUCCAGCAGGCUCCUCCUGUCCAACAUCCAUUAGCAGCUGUCAUGCUACUUCAGCUUGAUCUCCUGGGAGAUCCUUUGCAGUACAGCGUUUACCGAGAGGAAGCGGUUGAUGCUAUCAUGGCUGCCUUGGAGCAUAGUUCAGAGAGCGCAAAGGUGCAAGAACAGUGCGCUCGAGCUCUGUUGCUCCUGGCAGGGCGGUUUUCAUCCUCGGGAGAACCCAUAGCAGAAGCAUGGCUACUGAAGAGAGCAGGCGUAGAUGGCUCCCUGUCGGAAUCAUUUAGAAGAACAGAGAUUUUCAAAAAUAAGGGUGCACGAGCGGAAGAAGAGAAGGUGGUUGAAGAGCGGCUGAAGAAACUUGCCCUCGUGCUGGUAAAAACCGGGAACAAGCGGUUCCUCGCGGCGCUGUCAAACUGUAUAUCUGAUGGAAUCCCAGCUUUGGUCCGAGCUUGCCUCGUGACGGUAGCGUGGAUGAGCAGCUCCCUCUCCCCAUUACAUGGGUGCAACACUUUCCAGCCUUUGGCAUGCUCCGUUCUCGCUGCUAAGCUUCUAGAUAGGUUGAGCUAUGACAGAGUUAUGGAAGAGAGAGUGCUCGCUUCGCUAUCGCUGCUGAACCUUGUGAGACAUCCAGAAUGCUUGGAGGGGCUUUUGCCACUGAAGAGGGACACAACGGAGUCGUUGCGUGACCUGGCAGAUGUGACGUGGACCGCCAAGGAGCUCCUCUUCGCGUGCUGCAGAUGA